AAAAUCUGACAAAUCUUAGCCACAAAAAAUAUUAGCCACCAAAAAAGGAGCCAUUCAAGAACAUUAUUAUUACUUUUUUUUUUUUUUUUGAUAUUUGACAAUAUUAUUAUUAUAUUGCAAUUUUAUGAUGCUAAAAAUGAAUAUCUCAAUUAAAAAAAAUCUAAAUACUGAGGAAUUCUUAAAAAUAAAUUUCAAGAGUAAAAGAAAAUGAGAAAGACAAGGAAAGGAGAAACUUCAUUCAUUUAAAGAACCAAUUAACUAUGAAAAAAAAAAUCAAAAAAAGAAAUUAAAAAAAAUUAAAAAAUUAGCAUUAUCAGAAAUAAACAAUAAAAGAAGAGGAUGAGUCUGAUGAAGAAUAAUUCAGACGAAAAUUCCGCAGGCCAUUACUAAUUCUACUUCUCGUCGGUAGUAGCCGCUCUGUGAUUCUGGCCAGAGUCGCCGUGUACGCUUGCAGUAGCUCCGCCAUGACUGACACAGUUAUCAUCUUCUCGCUUUGUUUCUUGAGGCUGUAGAUUUAAUUCUGUUUGUUUGAGUUUGGUUUUUGGAAGAGAAAGAAGCCAAAUUUAUAAACCCGGAAGGAAAGAAGGAAGGAUGGAAAGAUUGACCCGACAGCAAACGCUUUCUUAUCUUAACAAAUUCGUUAUUGUUUUAUUUUAUUUUAUUUUAUUUUCAAAUUUAAUUUAAUCAAUAAUAAUUAGACAGUAAAAACUAAU
This 713-nucleotide long non-coding RNA is filed under the name Jatropha curcas. RNAcentral describes it as "long non-coding RNA (JCUR_LNC001308)". Lineage: Eukaryota; Viridiplantae; Streptophyta; Magnoliopsida; Malpighiales; Euphorbiaceae. The record is from RNAcentral.